UGAGUGGGAGUGAGCUAGAGUGAUCCUGGCAACAACAGUGUCAACUUGUCAUUUAAAAUUUAAAGCAAACUUUUUUUAAAAUUAAAAUGUCACUAGUGUCAGUCAAGAGUGUCAAGAUUAUUAAUUUAUAAUUUUUAUUAAUUUAAAUUUUCUGGUGGUGUAUUGUGAUUUUCUUCUAACUUCUAAUACAACAUUUAACUUGUAUAUUACACAAAGAAGUGGUGUAUUUUCUGAAUAUUAACUACAAUUUUCAAUUUAUUUAUUAGUUAUGGAAGUUAAGCUUGAAAUAAAGGAAGAAUUGGAGGAAUAUGAACAAAAUUAUGUGGAACCUCAGUUAUUAUCAUCAAUAGAUAUUCAAGAAUGUAAAAGUGAAACAGAAGCCAGUUGUUCAGGUUUUGACCUCAAAGAAGAGAGAAUCGAAAUGAUGAAAGCACUUUCUGAACAAUCAGUACCUGAACAAGAAUCAGUGACUCAAUGCUUUGAAGAAAAGACAUUAAAUUUUGCAAUUGGUCCUGAAGAAUUUUCACACAAGAACAAUUUCAAGGAACCUAUGAAAUUUCUUUCUGGAGAAGAUCUUCAUAAAUGUCAUGUUUGCUAUAAGCUGUUUACUGAAAAAGGUACCUUCAAUGACCAUAUGAAAGGUCACGGAGAAAGACCUUACAAAUGUGGAAUUUGUGUUAAAGAUUUUACUAAAAAAGCUGGUUUAAAGCAGCACCUGAAAGUUCACACUGGGGAGAAACCUUAUACAUGUGCAAGUUGUUUGAAGCAGUUCUCUACAAAAAAUAAUUUAAUUGUGCAUACAAAAAUAAUUCACACUGGAGAAAGACCUUAUAAAUGUGACAUUUGCAAGAAGCAGUUUUCUCUAAAAAAUACUUUAAGGGAACAUAUAAAAGUUCAUACUGGAGAAAGACCUUACGAGUGUCCAAUUUGUCUUAAGAAGUUUGCUCAUAAAUGUCAUCUAAAUGAGCAUAUGAGAAUUCAUACAGGACAGAGACCUUACCAAUGUGAAAUUUGUAUGAAGCAAUUUAUUACGAAAUAUCACUUAACUAACCAUAUGAAAGUUCACAGUGGUGAGAGACCUUACCAAUGUGAAACUUGCAAUAAAAGUUUUCCUCAGAGACAUCAUUUAAAUGAACAUAUAAAAGUUCAUAUUGGAGAGGGUCCUUACAAAUGUGAAAUUUGUGGUAAACAUUUUACUUGUGAGCCAAGUUUAAAUAAACAUAUGAAAAGUCACACUGAAGAGACACCUUACAAAUGUGAAAUUUGUGCCAAGAACUAUGCUAAUAAAUGUUCUUUAAGUAAACAUACGAAAACUCACACUGGCGUGAGACCUUAUAGAUGUGAAAUUUGUGCUAAGCAGUUUAUUGAGAAAUGCACUUUAAAUCAACAUAUGAAGAUUCACACUGGAGAGAGACCUCACGAGUGUCAAAUUUGUCUUAAGAAGUUUGCUCAAAGUUUUCAUCUGAGUAGACAUCUGAAAAUUCACACUGGACAAGGACCUUCUUCGUCUAAUGACGCUAUGUCCUUUGGUGAGUCUUGGCCAGCUUAACAAUGUACUUCCAUUCCGGUACGUUGUUUAUCCAUCUUUUAUGGGGCCUUCCUCUUGUUCUAUUUCUUUGGGGCUUCCAUCUCUGGAUUACUUUUCCAUCCACCCAAUGGCACUACGGCACAAACUGGGCCUUGGCCUCCUUCGGCAAGUUUCUCCAAUCAUUUUGAUUUACUGCUGUUUUUUCCAUGAAAGCGUUUUUAGGAGGUUUUUGGCAUCCUCAUGUACUUCGUCUUCCAAUCUCAUUUUUAGUCUUCGAACAGGUCUUUUUCCUUGUAUUUAGCAAUUUUCUAGCGAUUCUAUUUUCAUGCAUGCGGGCCAUGUACUCUACAUCGUAAUAUCUGCAGUUUAAUGUAUUGUGCUAGAGUUGGUUCACUAUAUUGUUCGUAUAUUUAUUUAUUAUACCUAAUUCGUCAAUUUUCACUUAUUGGGCCCAGUAUCCUACGUAAUAUUUUUCUUUCAAACACUUCUAAUGCGUUGGCAGAUCUCUGUGUCACAACUCAUGUUUCACAACCAUAACUUACUAUGGGCCUGAUAACUGUUUUAUAGAAUCGGAGUUUUGUUUUCCGGUGUACUUCUCGCGAUUUCAAUAUGUGGCCCAUCGCGAAAUAGGCUUUAUCUGCCAGCAUAAACCUUUCUAUUUAUUUCCGGUUCUUCUUCAUUGUUUGCGACCAGGUCCGCGCCUAAGUACGUGAAUCUAUUCACAUGUUCUAUAUCGUCUAUAAAGUGUUUCCUAAAGAGUUCUGCACUCUGUUUCAUCUCAGUGUAGGUUUCUUUCGCCGCGUUCAUUGUUCGGCUUAUUAUCUUAUUCUGCUGUUUAUAUCAUCAGCGUAUGCUGCUAAUUGGGUAGAUUUGUUUGUAAGUGUGUUAUUUCCGCUCACCGUCAAUCGUCCAAUUACAUUAUUCAAGAACAAGAUUAAAAAGUGUUGGAGUCGGUUCGUCGCCUUGUUUCAGUCCUUGAAUGCAUACAUAUGCUUCUGUUUCUGUCAUUGUCAUUUGCACUAGUCGUAUUAAUUUUGAUGGUAUGCCAAAUUUUUGCAAUAUAUUAGGUAGACUUGUUCUAUGAGAGAGAUAGAGAUUCAGAUUUACAAGAAAAAAUUGUUCAACUCUUACUUACUUACUUAUCCUCUUCGUUCCCACUGGAACAUAGGACAUCUACUGUCACUGUCCAUUUUUGCCGAUCUUUUGUUUUUUCUCUGACUUCUUGGUUAGGCCGAUGUUUUCUGCUCCUUUAAUAAUUGUUUUCUUCCAUGUAUUUAUCGGCCUCCCCUGUUUCCGUUUUCCUGGAGGUUGGAAUUCCAAUGCUUGUUUUGUUAUGUCUGUGUCUGGUUUCCGCACAGUAUGGCCCACCCAUUUCCAUCUUCUCUUUCUUAUUUUUUUUAUGUAUUGGUUCUUGCUUCGUUUUUUUCCAUAAGUUUGAGUUUGUGAUCCGGUUGGGCCAAAAUAUUCUUAGAAUUUUUCGUAAGCAUUUCUUGAUGAAGGAUUGAAUAUUUUCGGUGUUGUGUUUUGUUAUUCUCCAAGUUUGUGAUCCGUAUAAUAGUACUGCCUUUACAUUAGUAUUGAAGACUUGUUCAACUCUGAAGUCGGGUAAAGCCAAAUCAGCAGAAUGCGAUGAGACUUGCAUUAGUUUAUAGAUUUAUAUUUUGUUUAGUUCAAGGUAGUGGUUUUUUGAAAAUUUAAUUGGUGAGUUUAAGAAAUAUAUAAUAUGUACUUAUAAAAUAGCAGAUGACUUUUUAUUUGAAAUAGCACUAUGAAUUUCCGUCAAUGGGUCUUUUGAAUAAAAAGAAGUAUUUGCUUUUAUGAAAGUUCAUACUGGAACUGCUUACAAAUGCGAAAUCUGUUUUAAACAAUUUUAUAAAACAACACAACUAAGGUUUACUAAAUGCUACGUAUGGUCGGUGCUGCUGUAUGACAUAGAGGGAUGGACAUUCAAAACGAGGGAUAUAAAUAGAUUAGAAGCUUUUGAGAUGUAACUUUAUCGCCGUAUCCUAAAGAUCCCAUGGACGGCGAAAGUCACAAAUGUAGAUGUCCUUAAAAGAAUCAACCAAGGACACCAACUUUUCGAAACCAUCAAGAAAAGGAAAACGGGGUAUCUGGGUCACAUCAUGCGAAACGAAAAAUACCAGUUCCUUCAACUUAUAUAAUCGAGGGUAAAAUUGAAGGCAAGAGAGCAAUUGGACGCAAGAAAAUGUCCUGGCUCCGAAACAUAAGGCAAUGGACGGGUAUUAACGACAUACAAUCUCUGAUACACAUUGCAAGAAACAGUUAAUGGAAAAUGUGAUCGCUGACAUCCAUUAGUGGAUUUGCAUCCGAAGAAGAGAAGAUAAAACAACUCAUUUACAUGAAAACAUGAAAAUUCACAAUGGAGAAAGACCUUAUAAAUGUGAAAUUUACGUUAAGAUUUUACUAUAAAAUAUGAUUUAAAGCAACACCUGAAAGUUCACACUGGGGAGAAACCUUUCAACUGUCGAACUUGUUAUAAGCGGUUUUCUACAAAAAAUAAUUAAUUGAGCAUAAAAAAAUUCACCCGGAGAAAGACCUUAUAAAUGUGACAUUUGCUUGUAGCAAUUUGCUCUAAAAAAUACUUUAAAAGAACAUAUAAAAGUACAUACUGGGAAAAGACCUCACGAGUGUCAACUUUGUCUUAAGAAGUUUGCUCAUAGAUGUCAUCUAAAUGAACAUAUGAGAAUUCAUACGGGAGAGAGACCUUACAAAUGUGAAAGUAUGAAGCAUUUUAUUACGAAAUGUAACUUACGUGAUCAUAUGAAAGUUCACAGUGGUGAGAGACCUUACAAAUGUGAAAUUUGCAAUAAAAGUUUUCGUCAAACACAUAAUUUUACUGAACAUAUCAAAGUUCACAUUGGAGAGAGACCUUACAAAUGUGAAAUUUGUGGUAAACAUUUCACUUGUGAAUUAAGUUUAAAUAAACAUAUGAAAAGCCACACCGAAGAGACACCCUAUAAAUGUGAAAUUUGUGCUAAGCAUUUUGCUAAUAAAUAAUGUUCUUUAAGUAAACAUACAAAAACCCACACUGGUGUGAGACUUUAUAGAUGUGAAAUUUGUACUAAGCAGUUUAUUGAGAAAUGCACUUUAAAUCAACAUAUAUGAAAGUUCACACUGGAGAAAGACCUCACGAGUGUCAAAUUUGUCUUAAGAAGUUUACUCAAAGUUUUCAUCUGAGUAGACAUCUGAAAAUUCACACUGGAGAAGGACCUUCUUCUAAUGACGGUACGUCCAUUGGUGAAUCUUGGCCUGCUUAUUAAUGUUCUCCCAUUCUGCCCUGUCGGAUACUAUCCUUCGCCACUGGCUGAUGUUCAUGAUUUUAAGAUCUUCCUAUUCGUCUAUCCAUCUUUUACGGGGCCUUUCAUCAUCAUCAGUGGCAUUACAGCUCUUUAUGAGCCAAAGCCUUCUUCAGAACAAUCCUCCAUUCGAUCCUGUCUCUGGCAACUCUUCCCCAUGCUCUAAUUCCAAUAGAUUUCAAAUCAUUUUCUAGUUUGUCUUGGUACCUAAGUCUCGGUCUUCCUCUUGCUCGUUGUCCUAUCGACCCUCUUCGGUCAAAAACUUUUCUGAAUAUGGCAUCUUAAUCUAGCCUGAUUACAUGCCCUAAUUAUCUAAAGCGUGAUACCUUAAUAAAUAUUACAACGUCAGGUUCUCCAAAACUUCUGUACAACCCCAGGUUGUAACGCCUGCGCAACAAACCUUGUUCUUUUAUCCCGCCAUAUACUCUUCUUAGGAUCAUUCACUCGAACCGUUUGAGCAGUUCUUGGUCAUUCUGUGUAAGUGACCAAGUUUCUGAACCAUAUACAGGCAUUGGUCUUAUUAGUGUUUUGUAGACAGUCAAUUUCAUUUUUCUAAGUAGCUUUGAGACCAUCUGUCUUCUUGGAGACAUGGUAACACUUAUUGGCGAGCACUAUUCUUUUAUUUCCUUUUUAAUUUCAAUUUAAUUUCUUUACAUGGCCUUCCUCUCAUUCUGUGUGAGACUUGCAUUAGUUUAUAGAUUUGUGUGUUUAGUGCAAAGUAGUGAUUUUUUUUAACAUUUAAUUGGUCAGAGAGAGAGAGAGAGAGAAGAGCGAAUUAGUUCGUUGUAGACCAAUGAAAUUGUACAGUUUGACAAAUAUAUAAUACUUAUUACAAAAUA
Molecule: unclassified non-coding RNA, 5684 nt
Filed under: Diabrotica virgifera virgifera (western corn rootworm)
Lineage: Eukaryota; Metazoa; Arthropoda; Insecta; Coleoptera; Chrysomelidae
Description: gastrula zinc finger protein XlCGF8.2DB-like
Source: RNAcentral